CUGUCCAGCAGGCAGGCCAUGGCCAGACCACCGAGAAGCCACAGUGGGCCACAUCCAAUGUCUUCGUGAUGUUUGACCAGCCCCAAUCUGGGAGUUUAAGGAGGUCUUCCACGGGUUUGCCCAGAGCUGUGAUGGCUUCAUUGACAAAGAAGGCCUGGCCUCGCUGGGGAAGAACCCCAUGGUGAACAGCCGGAGGGUGAGAUGAGUGAGGCCCCGGGGCCCAUCAACUUCACCAUGCUGCUCACUGUGUUUGGGGAGCAGCUGAACCGCAUGGACCCUAAGGAUGUGAUCUGCAACACUUCGAUGAGGAAGCCUCAACUUCAGGUUUUAUCCAGGAAGCCCGCCACGGUGACCACCUCACAGACCAGCAAGUGGGCGAGUUGUACCCGGAGGUGCCUGUUGACAAAAAAGGCAACUUCAACUAUGUGGAGUUCACCCGCAUUCUCAAACACGGCACCAAGGACAGAGACCACUAG
Molecule: long non-coding RNA, 476 nt
Filed under: Homo sapiens (human)
Lineage: Eukaryota; Metazoa; Chordata; Mammalia; Primates; Hominidae
Description: non-protein coding lnc-PLAT-6:1
Source: RNAcentral